Aegilops tauschii subsp. strangulata is the source of this 2344-nucleotide long non-coding RNA. RefSeq lists it as uncharacterized. The record is from RefSeq and is a predicted model, not a curated record. NCBI's taxonomy places the organism in Eukaryota, Viridiplantae, Streptophyta, Magnoliopsida, Poales, Poaceae.
CUCAGCGUGAGGCCGGUGCUUAGAAAGAAAAGAGUGGUCCGAUGCAAAAAGCUGAAAAGUUGAAGCGAAAAAUAGAGAUGCAUGUGUACCGAAGUUAUUAUUUUCUUUUCUUUGAUGAGGCUCAUUAGUGGUGCCUUACAUUGGAGAGAAAAAAAUAAGGGCCCAAGCGGGUUGCGUCGCCAGCUCACCUACCGUUGUCGCUUAUACCUUACCACAGGGAAAGGAGGGCGUGUAGCGGAUAACGGCUUUGGCACCUACUACCUAUAUUUUAUUUUAUCAAUGCCAUGUGUUCUUUCUUGCGAUUAAGACUCCCCAAACCAUCCGUGAGUAAGAUCCUUCUAUGGAGAAACUACAACUGUAUCUUAACAUUUGGUAUCAGAAAAUCACACACCACCCUUCACUGGGUCACGUCGUCUAGGCUCAUCAUCUUCGCCAAGUCCACAACCAGAUCAAAGCCAUGGAACACUCGUUCAAGGAGUACCUCGAGAAGCUCAACACAUCCCUCGACGAGAUCCACACCAAUCAGUGUUCCAACACGAAUCUCAUCAAGAUCGGUCCUCCAAGAUCGAUGACUUGGUAGCAUGAUGCCUCAAUCUCAAGAAGUGUGUGGCGGACCUCCGCAUGGUGGCGGCCACGCUCCAAUAAAGCCGCUUGACGUCGACAACAACUUCAUCAGGUGAGGAGGUGAGGGUUGAUGUCGUCACACCCCACCGUUGAGACUCUCUCAGCAUCGGCGACGACGUGCCCAUGGCUCCCCACGGGUCUAUGGAUCAAGACGUUGCACAUCUACUAGGGGGUGGCGUUGCUGUCCUCGCCUACAUCGAUGCUGCUCCUGGCCAAAGGGCCACAGGGGAGAAAUCAAACCCAAGAAGGGAAGGAGAGAAGGGAGAAAUUACUUGGUACAACAGCAGAGGAAUGCUUGCUUGCCAUCGCCUUCAGAUCCAGGAGGAGCACAGCAGCAGAGGGGCAGAUCCAGGGGAGGAGCACAAAAGCAGAGGAGGACAGCAAGGGAGGAGCACAACAGCAGAGGGGCGGAUCCAGCGGAGGAAGAUGAGCGGAAUGCUCCUGGCCACCGCCGCCGCCGGCGGCGGGGGGUCAGUGGUUGGCGGCGGCGGCCUGGUCCCAGGUGAGGCGGGCAGGCGGCUCGUUGUGGAGGAGAUUGAAAAGCUAGGGUUGCCAGUUUCCCCUUCCGUGGGCUUCUUACUUAUCCCUUCAAAUUGAGUCGAUCGACUCAAACACGCUGACUAGUCUGGACUAGUCCACGACUAGUCGCUCCACCCCUCGACUCACAGAGCUAGUCUACACAAAGAACCUAGUUGACAAUCAAAUUGAGACAACUAAACUAUCACGUGACUAGUCAAGACUAGUUGUUAGACUCAUAAAGUCAAAUUUAUAGCUCAAAUGUGAUCCCAAGUUCAACAUAACAUGAACAAUUGCCACAAACAACUAAUGGCACAAACAAAAAGUUGCACAUAUUUUUGCUCAAUGCAAACCUUUUAUUUUUUUCCGAGAAAAGAAAGGACUUAUGCCUCGAUGCAUUUAUAGAAAGGAAACAAAGGGCUUAUGCCUCGAUGCAUUUAUAGAAAGAAAAAGAAAACCAACAGGGCCUAGCCACUGUGGCUUUUUACAUGGAACGGCCAAGACACUCACGCUGCCGCGCACAGGGCGCAAACGUGGCUAGCGGGCUGGGCACGCACCACUAGCCAACUGGUUGACGCCCCCUUCCUGAAUUUAUAGAUACAAGAUUUGUACCAACCCACACGACCCACAGAAACUAAGGAGGCUCAUGUGGAAACAGGGUAAGCCCAGUUGGACAAGCCAUUGACCAAAGAAGCGCCUGAGCCUUGAUCGUGUCAAUCACGUGCGACUUAACCCAAACCUUCACUUCACUUGUAACUUUCUAAUCGCGUCAAUCAAGCCAUUGACCAAAGAAGUUUGAACUAGAUGUUCUCAUUUAAAUAAACUUAGUUUCCCUGGAGGUUACAGAUGGCCCAACGAAUAUGUACAUGUAUAUGACAACGGAAGUAAAAUCAGUGUUAAAAAACCCAUAUAAAAUAUUCUUAAUAGUACAUUGUAUAUAAUGGACUUACUAAACAUAGCUACAACCAUCUUAUUAAAUUUAUAAUGGACUUACUAAACAUAGCUACAUUGUAUAUAAUGGACUUACUAAACAUAAUUGUUAUGCUUCUAGCAACCUGUUUACCUUCAUUUUCUCAGAACAAGUUGUCUAUCCACAUAAUAUUAACUAGUGUGGUGUCCCUUGUAUUGUGCCGUUGAUCCAUGUACGGUUCACAUGUCCGACAUUAUGUUUUAUUCAUAUCAACAGAUUAAUCUUUUCUCUUCC